Long non-coding RNA from Haplochromis burtoni (Burton's mouthbrooder), 839 nucleotides. RefSeq lists it as uncharacterized. The transcript is spliced from 4 exons. The record is from RefSeq and is a predicted model, not a curated record. NCBI's taxonomy places the organism in Eukaryota, Metazoa, Chordata, Actinopteri, Cichliformes, Cichlidae.
CACGCACCUUUGAGACAAAUUGAACCAAAACACACAAAAACCAUCAAACUAGAGCCUCACCACGUCUGCCUCGUCUCACACAGUGUGCCAGACGCCACAUAAACAUCAAACCAAACAGCAACACACACGCACUUAUCACUUUCCAUUUCCUCCAUCCAGCUCCACCUGAUCUGCACGUGUUUGCAAAGAACUCCAGAGUGCAGACAAACAUCGUCCUCACCUGCCUCGCCACGGGCUUCUACCCCAAAGACGUCACAGUGACGAUCAGGAGGAACGAACGUGUUCUGACCGCAGACGACGGCCUGAAGAGCUCAGGACUUCUCCCCAAUAACGACGACACGUUCCAGAGGAGAGAGUACGUGGAGGUUUUAAAGUCUGACCCGGCUACAUACAGCUGCGACGUCUUUCACAAAGCGACCGGUGUGGGAAUUUCUAAGAGCUGGGAUCUCAACCUGUUACCUGUUCCUGAUGGCGAUGGAUCUGCCGUCACUGGUCUGGUGGCAGCACUCCUGCUCAUGCUCAUCGGUGUAGGCGUGAUUCUGCUGGUCCUACGUAAAAGACGCAAUAAUGGCAGGAGCAGCGCAGAUACACCAGAGUCGCAGGAGUUGAACGAUGUUCGUCAGGAGUAACAAUGGAGAUCAGAGCUUCCACAGAAGCACAUCGAGACUCGGUGGGACCAGAUUUACUGAAACAACACAAACAUUUGUUGCACUUUACAGGUGGAUCAGCAUUAAAUGGGAUUCCAUUUAAUUCAAUGGAUGGGUUUAAAGAAUUGUUAAUGCCCCUUGCAGCCAAAUCUACGGUGGCCCUGAGAGGUCCAACUUCAACAACAACAACAA